Molecule: long non-coding RNA, 1497 nt
Organism: Chenopodium quinoa (quinoa)
Lineage: Eukaryota; Viridiplantae; Streptophyta; Magnoliopsida; Caryophyllales; Amaranthaceae
Exons: 3
Source: RefSeq, a predicted model, not a curated record
AGUGCUCCCUGAAACCAGAGAAAAUGGAAAUUAGGAAUUUGUGUGAGCCUCAGAUAGUUACAGUGCUAAUUAUAUUUGGAAAUGAUCUCCUAUGGAUUUUAAAUGUAUUGGGUGGAGGAAUGUUUGACAUUUAACAUUUAAAUGGAGGUUCAACUAUGUACACUGACAAGGUGAUAACAGAUGCGCUGUAUUUUUUUUUCUAUAGCUGCAAAUCAUUAAGCCAAGGAUAUAUUAGGUGUGAUAUUGUAUGGAUAUAUUUUAAAAGGACUGAGUGUGGUCAUACCAACAACCUGUAUUUUUUUUAUUUUUUUUUUCUACAGCUGCAAUUCAUAAAGCCAAGGAUAUAUUAGGUGUGAUAUUGUAUGGUUGUAUUUUAAAAGGACUGUGAGUGUGGUCAUACCAACAACCAAAGUCUGCAAUGAACCUGUGGCAUCUUUUUGGAACUUCCGGUGCAUCCAGCUGAGUAACUGCAUGGAAUAAUUACAUAAACUCAGAAUUAGAUUGAAUAAAAGGAUAACAUUGCAGCUCCAAUUUGUUGCAGUUUUGCUGCACAAAAUUUUAACAGCAGGAUGUAGAGACUUCCUUUCAGUGCUUCCCAAAAAUGACCAGCCUACUUGAGAGAAGUCAACAAAAAUUAUCGAAAACUUAGAAUAGGGCGCUUGCAAGUUGUAAACGUUCAAUUGUUUCUAAAGCUCCAAAAUGUUCGUGAACUCUGGAUUGCCGUUUGUUCUAAUGCUUUGCUGCCCUGGAAUUAAAGUGAACCGGGGGCCGACCGGAGGUAGUUCCAUGUAUUUGUUUGCGUAUAGUACGCGUGCCACCAAAACCACCAAUCGAACCUUUUGGUAAAAAGAGGUUUGGCUAAAUAUUUGAGGAUUGGAUAAAUGUUUAUUAUCAGCCUGUUCUUCUUAAGAUAAUGUCUACCUCUUUUUUUAUUAAGAUUUUGUCAACCUCAUACACUUGUGUUUGAUCAACUCAUUGAAAGAGAAAUAUGGGGUCAAUCACAUCUUUCUUGAAGUGCCGAGGAAGAAGGUUUAUGACUAGAAAUUUAUAUUUUAUCCAAAACCAAGAAAUUGAUAAAAUUAUGAUUUUUUUUUUUUUUUUAUGAUAAUAUGUGACUAAUGUUAUUAAUGAUAAUAUGUGUCUAAGGCGAUAAAUUAAAAGUCCAAUUAUUGAGUAAAGACCGUGAAGUUCAUGACAUUUCUUUGUUCUCACCUUACUAAUUAAAAAGCAUUAUAGGAGAACUAAUAGACUUAUAAUCCUUUGAUUCCGAAUUAUAUUGACUAUAGAUCAUCAUCCUGUACGGUGAGAGAAAACUACCAUAAACACCUUGGAGCGUGAAAGCUUUACCAUUGAGUUUAACUUGAUUCUCGAUACUAAGACUAAUUGGAAAUAAUUUCUCUCACUUUGUUCCAAGGUUUUCUAGUGUACAUUUUGAAGACUUUAUUAUAAAAGAAUUGUAAUUUUUGGAAAUAUAACUUUGUACCUAUCAGCAGAGUG